RNAcentral lists this long non-coding RNA (910 nucleotides) under Salvia miltiorrhiza (redroot sage). RNAcentral describes it as "long non-coding RNA (SMIL_LNC009003)". The record is from RNAcentral. Lineage: Eukaryota; Viridiplantae; Streptophyta; Magnoliopsida; Lamiales; Lamiaceae.
UCACCUAAACCGUCUGGUGCUACUUGGUGCAGGCUCAUCAGGGACAAUUACUCAUCGUCGUCCACAUCUUCUUAUUGUCGUAUCCAUGAUGUGGUUUAAAGGUUCAAUUGGUUAAUAGGGCUUAACAAUCAUAUGUGAAUCAAUCAUGAGACUAUGCGUGCUACGCGAAAGAAAAUUUGAACAACACGCAUAAAGUAUGAAUAAAUUACUGAUAUAUAUGCCUCAAGAGAGGACUUUCAUAAUAUUCAAAAUAAUAGUGCCUCUCAAAGAGGUUCUUUUAGUUAAUACGAUUGAACAACUUCAAAUGUAAACUAACCAUAAUAACUAAGCGUGUUACAGGAAGAAAAGUUUGAAUAACACGCGUUAAAGCGUGAUCAAAACACUUAUGUAUCAUAUGCCUCAAAAGAGGACUUUCAGUAUAAUGAAUAUAAUAGAGUACUCCAAGUGUUUAGGUAGUACGAGAAUUUAUUAAAUGAAUUGGGGUGUCUAGGCAAGGUAUAGGUAGGAUAUGGACGAGUUCGACCUUGCAGUCAAAAAGUGAGAUGUUCUUAUCAAAAGUAAGGUUAUUCUAAACACUUGUCGCCACUACUAAACUAAUAAUGUAUGCAGGCAAUUGCUCUCUCAUGAAUCUCUUGUGAUAGCUUCCUCAAUAUUGUUCUUAGGACCUUCUCCCGAUGUCAAUGGCCUUGGCUUGGUGCUCUUGGUCAGCUGCGGAAAAUCGUCGAUCACUAAUCUUGCGCAUGUGUUGGUUGUCCCUAUUUUCCAUUCAUUAGAGAAAGGUGUUGCACGAGUCUUAUUGAUAAUUUGAUGUCUAAUACUCUUCCCUUGCAUGCAUUCAUCUUGUCUGCCGUGAUUCUACUACGAAAGCUCUCAGAAAAUUCUAUAGCUUCCCGAUUUAGCUAUGGAGCUU